CCGGUAAGUGGCGCCUGAACCAGGCUCCCAGUAAGAGCGCCGAGCACAAUUCCUGACUCUAGACUAGAAGCUGAAGGAGGACAGAUCGCUGUGUGUCCACCACCUGGGACAGCACCUGGGCGUGCAGAAUAAUGGAUGAACAUUCAUGUUUUCACCUGUCUACAAAAGAAAUCUGAUAGUUGGAAAACUAAGGAAGAAUACAACAGUCAUGAUUAUUUCAAAAAGAAAUGAGCCAUACCUAUAUUUGAAUCAUCAUGCAAAAGAAAACAAUGAAACAAAAUGAAAGAUGAACCAAAAAUCUAUGUGCUCUUCCAAGCAUGUCUUGUUGGCUCAGUCUUGACAAAGAUGGGAACAAAGGGUGUGGGGGAUUGGAAAAUUCACAGAAGGGUGUGUAAGGCAGCAGGCAGGCAUCGGAGUGCCUACUACCUCCUCACAUCAUGA
This is a long non-coding RNA of Bos taurus (domestic cattle), 441 nucleotides long. NCBI's taxonomy places the organism in Eukaryota, Metazoa, Chordata, Mammalia, Artiodactyla, Bovidae. The record is from Ensembl.